Molecule: ribosomal RNA, 261 nt
Filed under: uncultured Anaerolineaceae bacterium
Lineage: Bacteria; Bacillati; Chloroflexota; Anaerolineae; Anaerolineales; Anaerolineaceae
Description: partial 16S ribosomal RNA
Rfam family: Bacterial small subunit ribosomal RNA
Source: RNAcentral
CGUCGUAUGUUAUAUGUGUCAUACGAGACUGCCGGUAAAAGACGGAGGAAGGUGAGGAUGAUGUCAAGUCAGCAUGACCUUUAUAUCCAGGGCUACACACACGCUACAAUGGUCUGUACAAUGGGUAGCCAAGCCGCGAGGCGGAGCCAAUCCUGAAAGCAGGCCUCAGUUCAGAUUGCAGUCUGCAACUCGACUGCAUGAAGCCGGAGUUGCUAGUAACCGCAGGUCAGCAAUACUGCGGUGAAUACGUUCCCGGGUCUU